RNAcentral lists this long non-coding RNA (2246 nucleotides) under Trifolium pratense (red clover). RNAcentral describes it as "long non-coding RNA (TPRA_LNC002016)". The record is from RNAcentral. Lineage: Eukaryota; Viridiplantae; Streptophyta; Magnoliopsida; Fabales; Fabaceae.
UUGAUAGGACACGAUCUCGAUUAGGAUUAAACAUUAGGACAAAUAUAGAGCAGAAAAGCAAUUGUUGUUAUAUUGAUAAUCCAAUAGAAUCAAGUGAUUCUAUGGCUGAAUUACACUAUAAGAUUGAAUGAUAAAAUACAGAAAAUAUAAAGAUAAGCUAGGUAAUUCGAGACACCUAGAAUCUCCCAAGUAGAGUGACUACUAAAAUUAAUCCAUAAAAAAACAAUGGCAAGGAACAUUCUUCUAUUUAAUCAAUCAGAUACAGAUCUAUUUUCUCUUCCCUCGCCGAAUAAGGAAACAUUCCUAUAAUGGUAUGAUUAGCUGUAUCUUUCUGCCCAAGUUUCCUUUUAUAAAAUCUGUCAUAACUAUCAGAUAUUAAAGAUGAUAAUUCCUUAAAUGAUAAUGUCUUCUAUUUCCAAAUAUAUUUCUUAUUCAUCUAACUUGUUAAUACUGUUGCGGUAUGGAUGUUUCUUGAUUCUUUCCUACAAGUUUGCUCAAAAUGCCCUGAAAUGAGGGAAAUUGAUAUAUCUUUUCCCCAGAAGAAAUGUGAGAUUAACUUGUUUUUGACAGUUUUAAAAUUACUUAUUUUAUUUAAAAUUGAAAAUCUAUGUUCCGUUUAAAUAAAAUGCGCCUCUUUAGGGAAUUUUGUUCCUGUAGUAUGUUCAUUAUGUUGAAGUGUAGCAUAUCAAAUAGAGAUGAUUUAUGAUUGGCAGUUCAACUUGUAGAUUAUGAGUUACAUUGUUAACAGAGGUUGGGUAAGGAUAGUAGUAUUGUUGUUACUAGCAUAUCCUGCUGAAGUUAUUAUUAUUACUGUUAUCAUUUUGAAUCUCUCAAGAAAAGUGAGUCAAGCUUGCCAUCAGUUAUUACAACAACUUUGGAAAGUUUAUUUUGAUCCAUUGAGAAGGUUCUCAAAUUCCAUCCUGGUCUUUUUUGAAGUUAACCGGGCUGGGUUUGAUUCUGCAAAUUAGAGUUUCAGGUUGGGAUGAAUGAGUCACGUUUUGGGAAGAAAAUGGUUUUCUGAAUCACACAACAGCCAGACUAGUUGAAGCUAUUAAAGACAAAGAACAAAGAAAGAGUACCAUCUUUGGACUUCUAUAUUUCACGCUUCAUUUGAGCUUGGUCAGCCUUUGAAAGUGCAAGGUAUGACUAUGAUGAUAUGCAGUGAUUCAGUGACCUUUGUUCUUCUCAUUUUUAGCCAAAAUCUAAUUGUUAUAUUUGCAGUGAGUCAGUGAUAUUUGUUCUUCUCAUUGUAAUUGUUUUAUCUGGAGAAGUUAAGCAAUCUGAGUAAAGUUGUUAAAAUUUAUCAUUCCCUCCUAGUCCUACAAUUUCUUUGGAGGUUUACAAUCAUGGUCAGAUAAUGCUUGGAGGGGUCAUUGUGGGAUUGCCCAGGAAGAUUGUAAAAUCGGUCAAAUUGCCAAUCUUCAUUUGCUGGGCCAUUGACCCGUUAAAAGCCCAAGUGAAAACUUAAUUUUCAUCGAUAUCCUUCCCCUUUUUGGUGUGACAAGAUGUUAAUUUUGUCAACCUUGAGAUUCAAAAUAUAAAGUGAAAAAGUUAUCAAUGCUUAGGCUUUUGUUUGAAUAUUUAUUAGAAAGUGAAAUGAAAAUAAAUGAAUUACAAUAAACUAGAAUGGAAUGGAAUGUAAUGAAACAAUGUUAGCAUUCUACUAGUUGGAUAUUUCUAUGUCAGUAAUUCAGGGUAAGAUGAAUGUUUCAUGAUGUAAAACUGGCAUUUUUAGCAGUGAUGAUAUUUGGCCUUUUCAGAUUGUCUUCUUUCUAAGUAACUGUAUCAGGUAAAAUUUGUGUUCUCAUUUAGUGGGUUCACAAUUAGUUCAGUUACAUUUUUACAGCCUUUGUUUUGUUAUGGUUUUUUGGGUUUGGGUGAUAUCCCUUCAAACUUACAGUAUCUAAUGUUGUAUGUAUCAGUGUUGUCAAAUAGCGGCGCCAUAGUGUAGUGAAAUUUGAACAAACCGCUAUUGUUCGGAGAUGCACUAUUUAAUGCAAGUGUUGUCAAAUAGAAGCUAUAGUACUUCAGCAUGGCUGAAUUUGAACAAACUACUAUUUUCCUGAUCUGGAGUCCGCAAUUGACAACAAUAUUAGUAUGUAAAUUUCGACAUCUACUCAACCUGUUCAAUAUUUGUUUCUUUAUUCUUUGACUUGUUAUUUGAAUUAUAUAUUUUUUGAUAUGAUCUGAGUUAUAUUGAAAUCAGUAGAGUAUGUAGAUUGCAUCCAGAUUAAUCCUAGGUCUCC